AUGAAUUUCUUUAUUACAUUGACUCACUCUCUUCGGCAUCUCACCAGAAACAACAUCCGCAGAAAUUGAAUGAAAGCUCUUGUUCUCUUAUAACUCUAAUUUUUUGGUUGCAGAGACAGGGUAUGGCUUCUCCUCCAAAUUCUUGGAGAACACUUCAUCUGUUACCUCUUCUUUAGGGGUACCGAGUAUCCUUACUCGAGCGCAAUGACAAUGAAUCUACAGGUGACAGAUUUGGUGCUGGUUAUAAGAUGAAGUGAAAUUUCAAUAUUUCAUAUACAGUGAAGCCUUCUAUUUGAUACUUGAUUACUUUUGAAGAUGAAGAGAAGAUUCCCAUUUCAAUGCUUGAUUGCUUUGUCAAUGAAGCUUUAUUGGAUUAAAGUUUCUCUAGGCUAGAUUUAAUUUUAUUACUACUCGUGUGAAGUUAUGUUAAGUAAAUGAUGGUGUAAUGCUUCUGUAAUCUACUCUUUUGAUUUAUUUGUGUAAAUGUACCAAGAAAUUACUUUUAUGUAGUUCUGAUUAUUCUUUUGAUUUAA
Solanum pennellii is the source of this 533-nucleotide long non-coding RNA. RefSeq lists it as uncharacterized. The record is from RefSeq and is a predicted model, not a curated record. The transcript is spliced from 2 exons. Lineage: Eukaryota; Viridiplantae; Streptophyta; Magnoliopsida; Solanales; Solanaceae.